Ailuropoda melanoleuca (giant panda) is the source of this 659-nucleotide long non-coding RNA. RefSeq lists it as uncharacterized. The transcript is spliced from 5 exons. The record is from RefSeq and is a predicted model, not a curated record. Lineage: Eukaryota; Metazoa; Chordata; Mammalia; Carnivora; Ursidae.
UUAAAAGGUAGCACCAGAGCGAGGAGGACAAACACGUUGAGGAGAAGAAAAAGAAAAAAAACAGUUGGUGGAAGCAAAGAGAUAACCGCCCCCCCAACACCAGUCUUCUGAACUUCUCCAGAAUUUUCAACGUUUGCAGCUCCAUCUGGGAUAUGGUCUGCCUGAGGUUCUUUGUGAAGUGGUGUCAGCAAGACUGAGCAGAAAGGCAGAAAAGUUCAUGACAGUCAAAGAAGCUUGUGGUGACGUGACUCCGUGAAGACCACACCACCACAGAAAGAGGCGGGAAGAAGCUGAGACAUACCACAUGCCACACGGUCCUUUACGACAAGGGGAGAAACAGGAAUAAGAGAACAAGAGAGCAGCCUAUAUUCCGCAGUCAGGAUUUUGAGGUAAUUAAACAAUCCCCAUAAAGGCACAGAGGGCUGGCCCAUAGUAAGCACUCAAAUAAUUAUGGUGGUAAUUAUGGAACGUUAUCCAUCAGCCCAUUUCACCUGCUGGGUGUGGACCCCUAGGAGCCUGCUCACCGGUCCGGAGAUAAGAAGACUGGGUGGCUCAGUCGGUUAAGCAACCGACUCUUGAUUUCGGCUCAGGUUACAAUCUGAGUCCUGAGACAGAAUCUCGCACGGAGCCGCAUGGAGCCCCACAUCAAUCCCGCUCAG